CCCCGAUGCAAGAAGUCGACUCCGACGAAUAGUCGGAGUGUCUGCUCUGUCACUUUGUAUUCUUUUAUUUUCGUUUUGUCUUUGAUAUUUGUAAUCGGGCUUCGGUCCCAUUUUGUAAUCGGACUUCGACCUAAUUUUGUAAGUCAUUUCAAUUAAAUGGAAUCAAAGACUUUUCAAACUUUUCCCUGCGUGCGGUUCAAAGUGUUUGAUUUGCCGAGCCAUCCCCGAGAG
Molecule: long non-coding RNA, 231 nt
Filed under: Elaeis guineensis (African oil palm)
Lineage: Eukaryota; Viridiplantae; Streptophyta; Magnoliopsida; Arecales; Arecaceae
Description: long non-coding RNA (EGUI_LNC015853)
Source: RNAcentral